AGCUUUAUGGAAUAACAUAAAGUACCUCCUGCUCAGUGCAAAUAAACAGCCGCAGAAUUUUUAUACUGUGCUAAGGUAGCAUAAUCACUUGUCUUCUAAUUAAAGAAUAGAAUGAACGGAAAAACGAAUUUUAAUCUGUUUCAACUUUUUUUUAUAAAAUUACCAAAAAGUAAAAACGCUUUUUUAUAAAAAAAAGACGAUAAGACCCUAAAGAACUUAACUUUAGUUAAGCUGGGGCGGCUAUUUAAAAAAAUCUUAUUUUUUAUACUUAUACACCCUUACUAAAUUUACCAAGUUACCUUAGGGAUAACAGCAUAAUUUAAUUUAACAGCUCUUAUUUAAAAUUAAGAUUAUGACCUCGAUGUUGAAUUAAAAAUCUACUAAAUGAAAAAAAUUAGUAAGAAAGUCUGUUCGACUUUUAAACAAUUACA
Molecule: ribosomal RNA, 431 nt
Filed under: Dysdera levipes
Lineage: Eukaryota; Metazoa; Arthropoda; Arachnida; Araneae; Dysderidae
Description: partial 16S ribosomal RNA
Rfam family: Bacterial large subunit ribosomal RNA
Source: RNAcentral